RNAcentral lists this ribosomal RNA (424 nucleotides) under uncultured prokaryote. RNAcentral's name for it is "bacterial SSU rRNA". It matches the Rfam family "Bacterial small subunit ribosomal RNA", at positions 355 to 796 of the family's 1533-position model. The record is from RNAcentral.
UGGGGAAUCUUGCACAAUGGGCGAAAGCCUGAUGCAGCCAUGCCGCGUGAAUGAUGAAGGCCUUAGGGUUGUAAAAUUCUUUCGCCAGGGAUGAUAAUGACAGUACCUGGUAAAGAAGCCCCGGCUAACUUCGUGCCAGCAGCCGCGGUAAUACGAAGGGGGCUAGCGUUGUUCGGAAUUACUGGGCGUAAAGCGCGCGUAGGCGGACUUUUAAGCCAGAUGUGAAAUCCCGGGGCUCAACCCCGGAACUGCAUUUGGAACUGGAAGUCUAGAGACCAGGAGAGGUGAGCGGAAUACCGAGUGUAGAGGUGAAAUUCGUAGAUAUUCGGUGGAACACCAGUGGCGAAGGCGGCUCACUGGACUGGUACUGACGCUGAGGUGCGAAAGCGUGGGGAGCAAACAGGAUUAGAUACCCCCGUAGUCC